CUACUGUGUGCUUGGCUCAGCAUCUCCAUUUGAUUAGAUCUGUACAGUGUGAUUCUGUGUAUGGUGUAUUGAUCUCACUAGAAGUAAUUUGGUGAAGACAAAAGUGGAACUGUUGGGGCACCAAGCCCUGAUUUUUUUUAUUUAACAACCCCACAAGUGCUCUUCUAAACCAGACAUCCUUGAAGAGUCUAAUGGCCUAUAGAAAUGAAACAUGCUUGCAGCUGGCAAAGGAGGUGCAAAAAGACUGGGCUUUUUUUAAACUUUGUUUUUAUUAUAGGUUCACACAAAUCCUGGUACAAGGGGAAAAAAAGAGAGUAGUUAUUCUACAAACCCUACCUCUCCCAUUCCUGCACAGCUUUGUAGCUGUCCCCUAUUUACAUACCACUGCAGAGAGCAGCCAUACAGAGCGAGCACAGGUUUUAAGGCCAUCUGGCACACACCACUCACCUGUCCAUCAUUUGAGACACAAUGCUACCUCUGCGUUCAGAGAGACCUGCUGUUCUCUCUAUUACUGUCAUUUGUUGACAUCAAGAAAUGGAGGUUAUGGAAAACGUUGUUUGUGAAUAAAACAACCACCACCUAAUUGGCAGCUGCCUUCUGUCUAGUUCCCUUGUUUUGGGGGAGGAUAUGUGUGUGUAAUUCUGUCCUUACAGUUCUCUGUGGUCCUGUUGUAAAUUGAGAGAGUGACAGACCUGAUCACAAAACCAAGCUUUUAGCCAUUUUGGCUUAAAUGCUAGGCUAGUGUUCCUGACCUUUUUGCUGAUGCUAAUAGUUCUUUCCUAGUUUCCCAUGGUCUGCAGGAAAUUAAUCAUGAUGGAUUUUACUAUGGUAAAAUGACUUCAGAGAUUCUAGUUUAGUUGUACUAGGAAAAUUAUUUUUGAGUUUUCACUGAAUAAUUGCAAAGUGAGGAUGGGUACAAUUGAAUGAGUGCAACAGCAAUGAAAAAUGCAGGUAGAGGCAUGAAUUCGUAGAAUUAUAGAAAUGUAGGGCUGGAAGGAACCUCAAGAGGUCAUCUUAUCCAGCCCCCUCAUGCUGAGGCAGGAUUAAGUAUACCUAGACCAUCCCUGACAGCUGUUUGAAGGUUUUUAAGAACAGGUUAGACAAUGACAGAUUCUGUAAUCUCCCUAGGUGACCUGUUUCAGUGCUGAACUAAGUUACAAAAUUUUUCUGGAGAUCUAAUCUAAAUCUCCUUUGCUGCAGAACUAGCCAGUUACUACAUGUACUAGCAUCAGAGGACGCAAAACACAAUCAAUUGUCAUUCUCUCCAUAACGGCCCAUAACAUAUUGGAAGACUUAUGUCCCCGCUCAGCCUUCUUGUCAGAUGAAACAUGCCCAAUUCUUUCAACUUUCCACAUAGGUCAUGUUUUGCAAGCUUCUUAACAUGUCUGUUCUUUUCUGGAUUCACUUCAGUUUGUUCACAUCUUUCUUAAAGCGUGGCACUGUACAGUGGACCCAGUGCUCCAGCUGCAGCCACACCCGCACUGCAUAGAACAGGACAGUUAUCUCCCAUGUCUUACUUACAACCCUCUGGUUAAUACAUCCCAGAAUGACAUUUGUCCUUUUAGCAUCACACUAUUGACUCAUAUUCAAUUUGUGAUCCACUGUAACCCCCAGAUGCUUUUCUGCAGUAUUGGUGCCUAGCCUAUUAUUUUCCAUUUGUGCAUUUGAUUUUUUCCUUUCUAAGUGCAGUACUUUUGCACUUGUCUUUAUUGAAUUUCAUCCUUAUUGUACAAGGGGAGACAAAAGCUUUAAUCGGACAUUCUGAAAAUAAGAUAAAAGGCACAUCAAGUGGACUAAGUCCAUUAAAAUGACAAUAUCCCUAGAUAGAAGCAAUCGACUUAAUAAGCAGGGCUAGCAUAGCAUAACAUAAAUGUCUUGUUAUAGCACCAUAAGCCUACAGGGGGUGCUUUACAGGCAAAGCCAAUGAUAACACACAGUGGCUGCAAGCUAGAAGGCUAAAAUGGCAGCACUUCCAAAGAUGGGAGUCAGAGAAUCAGAAGACAAGUCUUAGGCCUUGUCUACACUACAGUGGGAGAUCGAUCUAAGGUACGCAACUUCAGCUGUGUGAAUAACAUAGCUGAAGUCGACAUACUUAGAUCUACUUACCGUGCAGGGGCAGCGAGUUGUAUGGGUGUGUGGUGCCCAUGCUCCACUAAUAUGAGAGCAUAGGGGCCCGGCUCCACCAAAGUUCGGAGUAGGGUCUCUACCCAGGCCCUGCCUGCCACCCUCAGGCAAUUUAAAAGGGCCUGGGGCCCCCACUGCCAGUGCAACGGGGCUAAGGCAGUUUCCUGCCCACUCCGCUUCCGGAAGUGGCCGGCCUGUCCCUCCUACACCCCAACCCCCUUCCCCAGUCCAGAUCCCACACCCAAACUCCCUCCCAGAGCCUUGGGGAGGGGGUGGGACUUGGACCCAUUCUGGGGCACGACCAAAAAUUAUACAAACCUGCCGCCCCUGUUACCGCGGGGUUCACACUAUGCUAUGGAGUCAUAGAUUAAAGUUAUCACCAAAAGAAUAGGUUUGCGGUGGGUGAGAGCAAGAAACAGAUGUACCUGUUACUAUUGAUUGUAUAGUGGUUCUAUGAUUCUAUGGUGACAGGAGAGUGUUCUGUGGUCGAUUUCGCAGGUCUUCACUAGACCCGCUAAAUCGACCACUGAUGCAUCAAUCGCCGCGUGUCGAUCCCCCAGUAAGUGUAGACAAGCCCUUAGUUUUAGGUUAACUUCCAACUUGAAAUGCUCACAAACCCUGUUCGUAGUGCUCACACUUUCAAGUUAAGUAAUUGAUCCCCCACAUCAAUUAAAAUAUUUUAUUUUAAACCCAGAAAGUUAAGAAAUUUGCAAUCUAUCAAAAGGUAAAUUGCCCAAAGGAGCCUGUGCAAACACUUCCAGCAUGGAUUACAGCACAGAAUUUACUGUCAUUCCACUGUGACUUUACUGCUGUUAACAAAGUCAUUAUAUACCCUAAUAUAGUCAGAACUAGACUGCCCAGUGCUUACACUACAGCCACAAAUUGCAUUUCCUGACUAAUUCAUCUAAAACAUAAUAUUCACACCAUAAAAUCAACAUUAAGAGUGUGAAGGGAACCCAUACCCAGCAAAGAAACAUAAGGUCAAAAGUCUCUAUUUUAUUACCCAGUAUUUUGUGCUGCAGUGAUCCUGAUUUUGUUCAUUAUGUCGUUAAAUCCUCCAAUUUACCUGUUUAACUGAAAUCCUCAAGGAAUGCUCUGAUGUACCCCAACACACAACACAAUGCUAGAGGUGCUUUUUGCCCAGCAUGCCUGGUACAGUAGGCAGCAAAUUGUUUAAUACUCAGUAAUAAAUACUUAGCACCAUAUAGUGCUUUCCACCUCCAAAAUGCUGAAAAAUGUUAAUCAAUCAGUCCUUGCCCUGGACCCUGUGAGGUGGUAUAAGGUUAUUAUAUAGACAGGGAUACUGAGGCCCAGAAAGGCUAAGUGACUGACUCAGGGUUCUGCACAUUGCAAGUUAAUGAUAGAUUGCAUUAGACGGCAUUUAACUUUACCUUGCUCGGGAUAUGUAGUUUGCAUAGAUAUAGCAUCAUUUAAGUUUCAUUUCAUGAUAGUUGAAAUAAGUUGUGCAGGAACACUGUGUCCAUGAAUGAGCAAUUGUGGUGUAUUCUCAGAAGUGUUGUAGACCAUUUAAUUUCCUCAUGUUUCCUCCUCCUUUCAGCCAGAUAGCAUUUUGUCAGGGGAAAGGCAUUGCAGCAGAUAGGUUCCCUGCUAGGCCAGUCACAGAUCAGGGUUGUACUGCUUAACGUGAUUAAUACAUUUUACCUCUUUAUGCACAACCCAGUGUUUCACAUAAAUAUUUUGACACCUCUUACUGUGCCUAGUUAGAAACUGCAAAUAUAAUAUACAAGGACUAAAGCUUCCAAACCCAGUGUUUUACAUUUGCUCAUAAAACUGUAACUCCUAGAUGGUGGGCUGCUACUGAGAUCUCUGGGGCACAGGGUACAAAGAGGUGAGCACCAGCCCCUCUGGUAGCACUGAGCACACCAAAAGCUCAAACAUUAUAAAAGUUAAGGGGCCAGAUUGAGCUCAGUCUGGAAUUUCAUAAGUUCAGUGACGUAUAUUUAUUAAUGUAGUUCUGAAAAUGGGGUAAACAGAUUCCAAGGCCAGAAGGGACCAUUACAUCGUCCUUUAAAGAGCAGCAACUAAGUAAUUUAGCAUUUAAGAAUUAAGAUCUUCAUUUACAAGUAGACUGAGAUUGAUUGGCAAUAAAAGUCUUGCUGCUGUGAUAUUAAUGGACAUGAUUGACUGCUCUAAGGACUGACUGACUGACUGUAUAUCACCAUGCCCUCAGCUAUAGUUUACUAUGAAAGUGAUCAUGCAGAGUAAGAGACGGAUUUGGGGAGCACCGAGAAAGGUUGUUAGGCACUGAAGGUGACUGGUGAGUUGCUAGUGGCACCGUUACUUUAAAAUGGGUAUAGCAUUUUCUAGUAUAGGUGCAGGCCUGGAUGAGUGAAGACAGUAAAAGCUCAGACAGGUCCUUCCAGUAAGUGAGGUCAAUAGUAGUAGGUAAGAAGCCACAGGCCAUAAGCAAGCAGAAAAAUGAGGAAAGACAAAGGAAUCAUUGGCAGGCCACUUUCCACCUGGAAAUCUGUUGAGACAAGGGCUGGUGAUUGGAUGUGUGAAUGUAAUGAAUUUAUGUUUUCCUUCCAAACAAGGUAGGUCCGGCUUCACUCAGGCCUCUACUUUACAAGGAAACAAACAUUUCUUUGCCUAACCAAAGCACGCAAGGAAUGCCCCUUUGAAACUGCCUAGAGCCAAGUCAGUAGCGAUCCAGGAACAGAAAGAAACAGUAUGCACGCUGGUUGGUGGCUGUGAACAUAAAUUUGGAGGACUCCAGGUGCCACUUUGAUUUUCCCUCUUGCCUCCUACUUCAGGGAUCCAUGUCAUAGUAACCUCUUUCUUCUGGCAGAAGAAGGCUGGAUGGAGUUCCAUUCAGAAGCCCACUUGUGCUGGAAAGGAAACCCCACGAAAACUCCCAAAUACCUAUGUCAGUGACUUUAAGGACUUGUCUACACUUAAAAUGCUACAGUGGCAGAGCUGCACCACUGGACCUGCACCACUUUAGCACUUCACAGUAGACACUACUUACACCAACAGGAGGUACCUACCGUCAGCAAAGGUAAUGCACGUCUUCGGUGGCUAGGGUGAUGGAAGAAUUCAGUUGACCUUGCUGGUCUACGCGGGGGGGGGGGGGGUCAGAUCAGUGUAACUACAUCUCUUAGGGGUGUGGAUUUUUCACACCUCAGAGACACAAGCUAUACUGAAGUAAAUUCCUAGUAUAGAGCAAGCCAAAGAUACAUGGUUAAGCUCUCAUCAGAAUAUAGCAAAGCUGCAGCUGCAUAUGUCAUUUUAAUUAUAACUGCUUGUCAAUCUGCAUUUUUAUGGACUGUUUUUCAAAUAUACUUUUUCCUACAACCUUAGGUAAAUGAGCCCUGCUAACAUCCUUUAGGUCCUUCAAGUCAGAAGAAAAGAAGGUUGUGUAGCUGGCUGGGAGGAAAAUGUGUAGUCUUUGGCUGCUGACUAAAUUAAGAUACUUAACGGAAAAAGACUUUUUUUAUACAAGUCUAAAUCAAUGGCAUGCUAGACUAUUAUGACAAUGAAAAUAGUAUAUGUAUGCGUGAAUGGAAAUACAAUGCAAAAUGCUACGCAGGCAUAGCUAAAAUAGUAUGGUAUGUUUGAGAAUAUGUGAUUAUUAAAUUCAAAAGUAAUGCAUUCACGUGCACAUGGGGCAGAAUUAAGGUUAUGUGCAUGAUCUUGAAUCUUUUUAACUCUUAAGUACUUAAUUUUGAAACCUUAAUAUUUUUGUUUUUUUAAAAUAUAUACAAACAAUUUAUGUACAUAGGGUCACUAGUUUCCAUUGUGCUCUGUAGACAAAUAGGAAGAUAAGGACAUUGUAAGCUUCUCAAGGCAAUCAUAAGAGGAUGACAAUUUGUAGAGGGGAAAUGGAAAGAAGACAAAUCCAAAGGGGGGGGAAGUGUACACCGCAGAUUCCUUCAUUCCUCCCUCCCUCCCUCCGAACUUUCAGCAGUUUGCUUUGCCUCAUCCCCAUCCCCUGAGUGAGAAAAGAAGCAUACUGUAGUAGAAUGUAAUUUAAUGAGGUUGCUACCAUCGCUCUCAUGAAAUGAAACAUACCAAUCUAACUCCAUUAUCCAAGAUGAAUGAAAUGAAGGUAGUAAACAGUACAAGUGAAAACUAAACUAGAUAUUUAAAACUCUUGAACUAUUAAUCUAAGGUAUGAUUAGUAAAACUGUGGAAAUUUUUUUUUUUACUUCAUGGUAGUCCUUUAAAUGCUAAUAAAUCUUGUCAAAUUGGUUUGCUUACUAUUGUCGUUGAACAAUUGUGCCAUCUUACAGAGGGCUCCUGCACUACAGUUUGUUUGGUGGUAGAAGGCAUUCUCCCCCAGCCCAUCAUGUACUUCCAUUAGUGUCAUGCCUGUCUUUAUCUGGGAAUGUUAAUUUCUUACAUAUUGUUACUUACACACCCAAUUGAUUCAGUUAAUAUGCAUGUUCAAAUGUAGUCAGGCACCUGCAUUACAGAACUCCUUUGAUGGAUUAAUAGAGGGAUUUCAGUUAGGUUAAAUGUGUUAUAAGGCAAUGGCCACCUGAAUUGUUGCUAGUUGAAGAAAAGAUUGACCUUGUUUAUAAGCAAGAAUAGUCUGAAUUACUCUGUCUCACUUUCCAAAUCACCUGACAGAAAGGAGACUGCAAACCUCUAGAGCCCAAAAUAGCUGCUCAGUUUAUGAAUGUGGAGGAAGAUGGAGAGCCUUCUCAAACAUUCAGUCUAGCACCAGCUGUCUGUUGUCUGUUACAGGUGCAAGCAGCUGAGAUGCUUGUCUAAAAACAGCUGCCAGCUGCAAACCCAUGCACCUAUAGUAACAACCAGUGAUUGGCAGGUACCAUGCUGGGUUUGUGAUGACCCUUGAUCGUUCUGGGCAAUUUAUCCAGUGUAGAAAUUCCAUGGUAAUCCAGGGAGGUUAAAGGAAGUUGUUACAGCUGGGAAAUUGAAUGCCAUAUGAUUCUUACAUUCAGCUUAUCAGCAAAGCAGAGAGUGACAUCUCCUCAGCUUUUGGAAGGCUAGUAGUAAUACUUUCUUCGCGGUAAAACUGAACUAUUAGCUUCCCAAAAACGUUUUAUAGAUGCCAAUGAAAAAAUGAUAAAAAUAACCUGUAGGAGGUUUUCUUUUCCAUUCAUAAAAAUUAGAACUUUCGUGCUCAAAAACAUUGAAACCCUUCUAAAAAACAGAAAUUCCACAACACACUAGGUCACAAAAUAGUUUAUAGAAAGUUCAGCUAAAAGGAGGGGUGCUAGUGAGGUUUAAGGAAUGGGAAUGAACUGUGUCAUGGAAAAUGUUCAAAAUAGGUAGGGCAGGACAAGUGUAGACAAAAGUAGAGAGUUCAGAGAAGAGGCAGAGCAGAGACUCGAGUAAAGUGAUCAAGUAAGGAGACAGGAUAAUAUGAGGUCAUACAAGUAGAACGGUGGGGUGUUCUGAAAAGCAAUUGGAUGCAAUCACAUAUAUAUCACGUGCAUCCCAUCCAUCUGCAGUAUUUAAAGAGAACCAAUCACUGUAAGACCUAAGCAUAUUUACAUAUGCAUAUGGUUGUUAACCUCUGAGAACAGGACAAGAAGCAAUGGGCUUAAACUGCAGCAAGGACAGUUUAGGUUGGACAUUAGAAAAAACACUUCCUUUCAGGGUAGUUAAGCACUGGAAUAAACUGCCUAUGGAGGUUAUGGAAUCUCCAUAAUUGGAGGUUUUUAAGAGCAGGAUAGACAAACACCUAGACCAUUGCUAGCAGAUCAGGGGUGGGCAAACUAUGGCCCUGCAGAUGUUUUAAUCCAGCCCUCGAGUUCCUGUCAGGGAGUGGGGUUGGGGGCUUGUCCUGCUCCGCGUGUGCUGUGGCUCCCAGAAGUAGUGGCAUGUCCCUCCUCCGGCUCCUAUGUGUAGGGGCAGCCAGGGGGCUCCACACGCUAUCUCCUACCCCCGCCCGGGAAUCGCGGGCAAUGGGAGCUACAGGGGCUUGCGGAUGGGGCAGCCUGCAGAACCGCCUAGCAACACCGCUGUGUAGGAGCCGGAGGGGAGACAUGCCACUGCUUCUGGGAGCCUCUUGAGGUAAGUGCAAUCCGGAGCCUGCACCCCGACCUCCUCCUGUGCCCCAACCCCC
Molecule: long non-coding RNA, 8182 nt
Organism: Chelonia mydas (Green sea turtle)
Lineage: Eukaryota; Metazoa; Chordata; Testudines; Cheloniidae
Exons: 3
Source: RefSeq, a predicted model, not a curated record